AAGGGCAGUAGUCUUAAACCAUACUCUAAAAUCUUCUUAUAAUUCCAGUUGUAAUAUUUUGCUAGCAUAUAAUGGCUUCUUCAAUGGGCUUGAAGCUGACCUAUGCCAUGCUUAUAGCGAUGGUUGUUAGUGCACCUCUAGCAGAAGCUGCCAUCUCUUGUGGCCAAGUGUCAAGCAGCUUGGCACAAUGUAUAGGCUACCUCCAGAAAGGUGGGGCUUUGCCUGCAGCUUGCUGCAGUGGGUUGAAAGCACUUAAUUCUGCAUCCAAGACCACCCCUGACCGCCAAGGGGUCUGCAACUGUUUGAAAUCCUUGGCUGGUAAGAUCUCUGGCCUCAACUAUGGCUUGGCUGCUGGCCUCCCUUCAAAGUGUGGUGUAUCCAUCUCCUACAAAAUCAGUCCUUCCACAGAUUGCAAAAGGUACGUAUUCUAUACUUCAUGUGUGCAUGCAUGCCACUGGAAAUUAUUAGCCCGAUUUCAUAAAUCACAAUAAUAUAGAAAUAUUGACUUCUUUUUUUGUUUUUGUUUUUGUUUUUGUGGCAGCGUGAAGUGAAGAAUUGAAGCAGAUUAUGAAGUAUAAUAAUAAGCUAGUGCUAGAAUAAAAGGGGUGCUCGAGCCUGUUCGAACUAAUUCCCCGUUGAGGGAUUUAGAGUCUUUUCUUUCUUACGAGUUUGUGUUUACAAUAUUGUAUGCAUUAUGUGUCUACAAAAAACUCGUAUUUUUUCUUCCCUCACUUUUUUAUAAAAGAGUGUUGUGAGAGUAGAAUAUUUUUUGCAUGCUGUUCUGGGGUAACGGGAAGAAAAAAACGAAACAAUGGCUUCAGCAUAUCGCACAAAAUAUAAUAAUAGAAGAUUAUAAAAAAAAUAAAAUGUUCAGCAAAUAAACAACCAAGUUGGAACUAGUGUCGAAUAAAACUCAGCUGCCAUUCCCUCCACAACUGAACCAAACCCCAGCUGCCUUCCUCGCCAGCACUGAACAGAAACCAGCCAUAACCUCCCCUGAAAUCAGCCCUUAAUUUGACUCCAAAACAGCCACAACACAGCAGCCCUGAAAUCAGCCCCCAGCAACCUGUAGUUCAGGCCAACACUCCCAACGAAGAGAGGAGCACCAACCUAUAAAAAACAGCAGCAAAAACCAUCCAUCCCUCCUCUCUCACCAACAACACAACAACUAAAGUGAUCCGAAGAGGAAAGAGGUGAAAAUAAAGCCAUCACUCACAUGCCCACACUUGAAAUUCUGAAGAGGAAAGAAAGACAGAAUGAUACAUGAAAAGAAAACAUGAGCAAUUUGGUCAGAAAACAGUAUAGACCAUUUAAGUUGAAACUCUAAAAAACGCUUUGGAACUUCCAUUCUCGACGCGGCAUGCAGGUCUUUGCUAUUCUAUAAUGAAUUGCAAAUCGACAGGGAGUUGACAGGUUCUAUGAAGAUGGCAUAGUUGAGUGUAGCACGAGGUGCAAAGUUUUGUGAAGGUAACCUUUUUUAAGGAGGGGGGCUAAAGCGUAACAAGGAUGGCCAUUUAAGAUUUCUUGAAAGUUAUAAGAAAGGAAAUCACAAUAAUUAAGAAGGUGUUAAUUGAAAAGUAUAUAAAACAGAAACUCUUAAUGCUCAGUAACUUGGAUUUAAACAUUGAGAUGGAGUUGCUAGAGAAAAGUAACAGCUGCUGGAAAAAACAGUGAUAAUCAAUAAUAACAGUUGAGCAAAUGGAUUUCUAAUGCCAAGUUAACAUCGAAGAACAACAACUCAUAUUCGCAUCAAUGCUUAGCAGCUGAGGUUCAAAAUUCAGUGCUAGAAGUGCUGGAGAAAAGGUAAAGGUUGCAGGAAAAGACAAUUAUAAUCAAUGAUAACAGUGGAGCAAAUGGAAUCAUUAUUAAAAAAAAAAAAAAAAAGAGGAAAAGAACAUAAUCAAUCACCUGGUCCAUUUGUGUGUGUAACAAUGUUCCAUUCAUUGUAAUGCUAAUUCGAAUUCCGAGCUUUUUAGUUUUAUUCUAUAAAAAGUUUAACCUCCUAAUGUUGCCGACUCAAACUAAAUCAUGCACAAUGAUCACAAAAGGUUUGUGGAGCCAACUUAAUUAAGAUUGUUCCUUCUUGGAAUUCUUCCAAGUAACUUGAAGGACCUUAUAAUUUGAGAUAAAACUUAUAAAUUCUCUUGUCUAUCUCGGCUUGUGGUUGAAGGAUUGACUCUUUUGUCAUAACAGGUAAAUCUUCAAACACCCUUUUAUUUCCAUGAUGCUGCUCGGGUUGAGAAACAUGAAAAACAAGACAAAUUGAUAUAGAAGAGGGCAAACUCAAUUUGUAAGUCACUGCCCCAAUUCGUUCAAUAAUUUUGUAUUGUCCAUAGUACUUAGCAGAUAGCUUGUGUAAAACUUUGUAAGCCAUUGAUUUAUGUUUGUAUGGUUGUUGCUUUAGGUAUACCUAAUCACCAACGCUGAAUUCUUUUUCACUCCUUUUAUUGUUAGCUAGCUGCUUCAUUCUAUGAUAGGCUACCAUAAGGUUAUUUUUUAGCAGAUCAAGCAUGUCUUCCCUCUUACUUAGCAAUUUAUCUGCUGCUUCAAAUUGCAAUUCUUAUGAAAAUAAAGAAUAUGACCAUAUAAAACUUCAUAAAAAGUGACCUUCAUAGACGCGUGUAGCUAGGAUUAUACCACCAUUCUACUAGAGGUAAUAACCACCUAGACCAUUGACUUGGAUUGCUUCCAAUCAUGCACCUCAAAUAGUUUUCUGAACACUUGUUAACAGCUUCAAUUUAUUAAUCAGUUUAUGAGUGGUAGGUUGUAGAAUAAUGUAGCUCUAUUCUUUGAUCUGCAAAGAUGUUCUUCCAUAAUUGACUUAGGAACACAAUGUCUCUAUCAUUUAGACAUGAUCUAUGAAUGCAAUAGACACUGUAGUGGCAGAAUAUGGGUGAGAGAAAGUCAUGAUCUAUGAAUGCAAUAGACACUGUAGUGGCAGAAUAUGGGUGAGAGAAAGUCGUAAAAUGAGAGUACUUGUUAAACCUGUUCAAAACCACAAAAAUGAUCUCCUUUCCUUUCGAUCCUGAUAAAUCUUCCAUGAAAUCAAAACCUAGCAACUUAGCCAAACCAUAGGUGUUGAGAAAUGUAGGAUAUCUUCUAUUCCAAGAGAUAUUUGAGAGGAACAUGGUCAUUACAAAUUUUGAACUUCCUACCCCACAAAUAGUGUCUUUACCUAGCUAUUGCAUGUAAAUGCCUUCUUGCAUUAGAACAACACUAGUUCCUACUUUAAAAGUGGCUGUUCCUCUCAAAUUUACAAACUGCUUGUUGAAGUCUGAUAAAGUAAGAACAUGGGGUUUGGUCAUGGUUUUUUCAACAGAUCAAAACCAUCUUCUGUUUUUGAAUUCCAUUAUGAUUUGAAAAUUUGUUUUCUUCGCUCUAAAUAAAUUACUUCAAUAAUUACUAGAAUCAAAGAGAUAUUUUAUAGUGCAAAUAUUUUUAUGAAUCUUGUCAAGUUAAUUCAUAGCAUCAAGAAUGGGAUAAAAAAUAAUAAUUAUCUUUUAAAAAAAAUACCUCUUAAUAUGGAUUAUGUCCCCACACAUAUGUAUAGAGAUUAAAGAGAGGAGGGAAGAGUUAUUUUUUUUUAAAUAACUUCUCUAAAUAUUUAAAUCAGAUUUAUUUUUCAUAGAUGAACUAGAUCUAACUCAGUAAUCAACCCAUUCUUAGCAGUUUAGUAGAAAUUUACAAAAUAGACUCGUACCCUCUAAUAAACUUUCUAUAAUCUUUAGUAUCGGCAAAUCUAACACAUCUUUGAUCUUUCAUGGAUAUGUAAAAACCCUUUCUCCGGUAAUAAUAUCCCCUAAGUAUUUCACUUUAUCACUGCCAAAUGUACAUUUGCUUCUUCUUUUUUUGUCAUCACCUCAUGUGUUCUUCGCCCUUCAAACAUUGUUAUUAGAUGUUCAAAGUGUUCGCAAUGUGAAUGCAAUUCAAUUUACACGCUUCCAUACAACCUUUAAAGAGUAAAACAUCCCAUCAAUUGACAGAGCAAAAGAGAGAAGAAAGGCAGUGCGAAAGAGCCCAAGUGAUCCUCUCACGCAAAUGACUACCAUUAUUUGAUUUCAGAACUCUCAAACUCUUUUGAUCCAUCCUCCUCGACAUGAUAAUUCUUUUCUGGAAAUCAUAUAUAUUCCUUGGAAAGACAAUGAGGAAUUAACUGCAUUUUUUAAAUAAUGUUUCUCAUAAAGUAACAAUAAAGGACUAAAAUAAAUAGGUUUUAAGAAGAGGAUCAAAUAAGAUUCUUUGUAAGUUUGAGGGACCAAAACAGUAGAAAGGGGAGGAAGAAAAACUCUUCUGGGCCCACAAUAGUUAAUUCACCAAGUGACUGUGUCGGUGCAUUAAAGGCACGGGUCCCUCAAUCAACAAUAAAAUAAAAAGUCGGUCCCUUCAAAUUUUAUGUUAUGAUAAAGAGUUAAAAUUGGUACUUCAUUAUUCAUAACCAAUCACUGAUGAGGAUGAAGUAUAUUUGGUUGUGUGGUUGUUGAUUGUUUUUCAAAUAAUUUUUUGUAUUGAAAUAUAUGUUAAUAAUUUUUUUUUACUUUUAAAAAAUUAUUUUUAACAUCAGCACAUUAAAAGAUUCAAAACAUACAAAACAUAUUAAAUUUUAGUAAAAACAAAAUUUGAAUUUUUUGGGAACGCGGUUUGCACCGCGUUCCCAAAUGAUUUCGAAGUAUUUAGGAACGUGGUAAUGAUUUACUUUUUAAAAUAUUUUUAUUUAAAAAUAUAUUAAAAAAUAUAUUUUUAUUUUUAAAAAUUUAUUUUUGAUAUUAACACUUUACUGAAAAUACUAAAAAAUUAUUUUGAAGUAGAGAAAAAAAUGAAAAAAUAUUAAAUUUUUUUAAAAUUACUUUUAAAAUAUAAAACCAAACGGGAUGAUAAUUGACAGUCCCAACAACUAAAAUAUAAAUAGAUAAAUAUACGGUGAAAAUGAGGUUUUGAUGUUCAAGUACCAAAACAUAAGAAAUAUUAAGAGAUCAGGAGCACACAAGGAUAUUUGAUAAUGUAGUAAAAAAUAUUUUUAAAAUUUUUUUUUAUUAAAAGUAUAUUAAAAUAAUUUUUUUAUAUUUUAAAAGAUUAUUUCUAUAUAGCAUAUCAAAUAAAAUCCAUUUAAAAACAUAAAAAUAUUAAUUUAAAAUAAAAUUUAAUUUAAUUUUUUAAAAAAAUAUUUUUAAAAUUAAAAAAUAAACGAAUUCCUAGUGCAAUUAUUGGCAGCAAGAGAGAAGAGAAGAGAGAGUUUUUAACGUUUCCCACCGGAUAGUCAAUGAAAUUCGAGAGGUAAACAUUCCGGCCAGGUGUCAUCAGCCAUGGCCGUCUAUUCUCCACAACAACGUUUUGAGACGUUGAGAGAACUAAAUGUUUAAGCUCCCUAACUAUAUGCCAAUUUGACAAGGACAUGAUGAUGAAACACAGAAUUAAUGAAUCCCAACUGCCAGCUAACCUUCUAUGCCGACUGGCUACUUACUGGUGUUUUUAGUUUUCAUUUGUUUUUGUAUUUUUUAAAAAAUUAAAAUAUUUUUUUGUUUUAAUUUAAUAUAUUUUUAAUAUUUUUAAAUCAUUUUAAAAAACUGAUAUUAAAUUUAAAAAAUAUUAUUUUGAUAUAUUUUUGAGUAAAAAACACUUUAAAAAAUAAACGCAACUACACUCACAGAAAUGCUCAUAUUAUAUCUUGAUAUAAUCACAUGUUUUUUUAAAAAAAUAUAUUUUUUUAGUUUUAAAAUAAUUAUUUUUAAUAUUUUUGUAUCAUUUUAAUAUAUAUAUAUAUUAUUUGAAUAUAUUUUUUAAAAUAAAAAACACGGUUAAAAAAUUACGUCGACAGUACUCCCAAAACCUUAAAUCUUUGCUAUAUAAACACCAUUGUUCAGGACUUUGCACUCACUCAACAACUUCAAGGGCAGUAGUCUUAAACCAUACUCUAAAAUCUUCUUAUAAUUCCAGUUGUAAUAUUCUGCUAGCAUAUAAUGGCUUCUUCAAUGAGCUUGAAGCUGGCCUGUGCCAUGCUUGUAGCGAUGGUUGUUAGUGCACCACUAGCAGAAGCUGCCAUCUCAUGUGGCCAGGUGUCAAGCAGCUUGGCACAAUGUAUAACCUACCUCCAGAAGGGUGGGGCUGUGCCUGCAGCUUGCUGCAGUGGGUUGAAAGGACUUAAUUCUGCAGCCACGACCACCGCCGACCGCCAAGGGGUCUGCAACUGUUUGAAAUCCUUGGCUGGUAAGAUCUCUGGCAUCAACUAUGGCGUGGCUGCUGGCCUCCCUUCAAAGUGUGGUGUAUCCAUCUCCUACAAAAUCAGUCCUUCCACAGAUUGCAAAAGGUACGUAUUCUAUACUUCAUGUGUGCAUGCAUGCCACUGGAAAUUAUUGCGGUAGCUAGCCCGAUUUCAUAAAUCACAAUAAUACAGAAAUAUUGACUUCUUUUUUUCAUUUUUUGUUUUUUGUUUU
This 6428-nucleotide long non-coding RNA is filed under the name Populus trichocarpa (black cottonwood). RNAcentral describes it as "long non-coding RNA (PTRI_LNC001184)". The record is from RNAcentral. Lineage: Eukaryota; Viridiplantae; Streptophyta; Magnoliopsida; Malpighiales; Salicaceae.